Molecule: ribosomal RNA, 254 nt
Filed under: uncultured bacterium
Lineage: Bacteria
Description: partial 16S ribosomal RNA
Rfam family: Bacterial small subunit ribosomal RNA
Source: RNAcentral
UACGGGGGGGGGCAAGCGUUGUUCGGAAUUACUGGGCGUAAAGGGCUCGUAGGCGGCCAACUAAGUCGGAUGUGAAAUCCCCAGGCUUAACCUGGGAACUGCAUCCGAUACUGGAUGGCUUGAAUCCGGGAGAGGGAUGCAGAAUUCCAGGUGUAGCGGUGAAAUGCGUAGAUAUCUGGAGGAAUACCGGUGGCGAAGGCGGCAUCCUGGACCGGCAUUGACGCUGAUGAGCGAAAGCUAGGGGAGCAAACGGG